This 1021-nucleotide long non-coding RNA is filed under the name Nicotiana benthamiana. Its description in RNAcentral is "long non-coding RNA (NBEN_LNC023773)". The record is from RNAcentral. Lineage: Eukaryota; Viridiplantae; Streptophyta; Magnoliopsida; Solanales; Solanaceae.
AAUACCAACCCUAAGUAGCAGCUGCAAAAGACGUAAGAAAUGCUCUAGAGAUCAACAACUAGAUCAAAGAGACUCUAAGACCUAAAAGGAGACCUCCACCGUCGUUGCUUCUUCUUGAGGAGACGAGACACAAAAAUGAAAAUUACUGGAGACACCAAAAAGCUUCAGCUUUCGCUUCUUAUUCUUCUUGACUCUGAAUGAUCCUAAAGGAAGUGAACACUAUUUCCGGCGCUCACCCCUCAUCCCUCUCUCUCUCUCUGUUGAUUUUCACUCCCACUAUUAUCCGUCGGAGUUGGUCACCGGUGAUGGCUAGGCAACCACGGUGACUUCCAUCGUCUCUUCUCUUCGACGAGCUCCAUUGGUUGGAUAAAUCAACACUUCUUGCUGAAUUUUGGCUAGAAAUUUUCAUAUCAGACUGUGAAGUUUUAAAGCCUAUCUAUUUGGGUUUGAGUUCCGGCGUCUAAUACCCAUUUCCGGCGCCACCAUUUAGAACGGCAGACUAUUUUUCGAUACCUUUAUUUCUUCAUUCACGUGCUGUUAUAAAUAGUAUGAGUUAUAAAAAGUACUUUCUUUAGUUGAUUGGAUUUAGGGGGUUUGGCCGGAUUUGCCAUUUUUCAUGCGGACUCCAUUAAUCUCAGUUGAAAACCCGCCGAGAUAGUGCCGAAAACCAGCCUUAAGUUUGUUACAAAAUACCCCUCGUAAUAGUUGCAUUUUCUUGAGAUCGGGGUCAUUUUGAAGUUGCCGUUUGAGGUCUCCGGUCGUUAGUUCCGUUUGUUGUUGCCGACAAACACUCCGAUCAACAAUUGUCUGGUUGUUAAGCUCGUGUAAUUCCAACUCAGAUAAUUUAUAUAAAAGGUCACUCUUUUUCUCCACUUCAUUGAUUGUUUCAUUCUUUGACUUUGUUAAUCGAUUUUGUGUAAUUAUUCGAUGGAAUGACAUUUUAGUACAUUUUAUUGAUCCUGGAUCUAUGAAUCUUAUUAUUUCUUUGUUUCAGGAGAAUAUGGUUUGGAGUUUGAUGCUA